AGUAAAUUGGUUAAGUUAGAAAGGGCGCACGGUGGAUGCCUUGGCACUAGGAGCCGAAGAAGGACGGGACUAACACCGAUAUGCUUUGGGGAGCUGUACGUAAGCGUUGAUCCAGAGAUUUCCGAAUGGGGGAACCCACUAUCUUUAGUCGGAUAGUAUCCUUACGUGAAUACAUAGCGUGAGGAAGGCAGACCCAGGGAACUGAAACAUCUAAGUACCUGGAGGAAGAGAAAGAAAAAUCGAUUUCCUGAGUAGCGGCGAGCGAAACGGAAAGAGCCCAAACCAAGAAGCUUGCUUCUUGGGGUUGUAGGACACUCUAUACGGAGUUACAAAAGAAAGUUAUAAAUGAAGCGGUCUGGAAAGGCCCGCCAAAGACGGUAACAGCCCGGUAGUUGAAAUGGCUUUCCCUCCAGAGUGGAUCCUGAGUACGGCGGAACACGUGAAAUUCCGUCGGAAUCCGGGAGGACCAUCUCCCAAGGCUAAAUACUCCCUAGUGACCGAUAGUGAACCAGUACCGUGAGGGAAAGGUGAAAAGCACCCCGGAAGGGGAGUGAAACAGUUCCUGA
Molecule: ribosomal RNA, 566 nt
Filed under: Listeria monocytogenes
Lineage: Bacteria; Bacillati; Bacillota; Bacilli; Caryophanales; Listeriaceae
Description: partial 23S ribosomal RNA
Rfam family: Bacterial large subunit ribosomal RNA
Source: RNAcentral